This 301-nucleotide ribosomal RNA is filed under the name uncultured bacterium. RNAcentral's name for it is "partial 16S ribosomal RNA". It matches the Rfam family "Bacterial small subunit ribosomal RNA", at positions 509 to 807 of the family's 1533-position model. The record is from RNAcentral.
CAGCAGCCGCGGGAAUACAGAGGAUGCAAGCGUUAUCCGGAAUGAUUGGGCGUAAAGCGUCUGUAGGUGGCUUUUCAAGUCCGCCGUCAAAUCCCAGGGCUCAACCCUGGACAGGCGGUGGAAACUACCAAGCUGGGGUACGGUAGGGGCAGAGGGAAUUUCCGGUGGAGCGGUGAAAUGCGUCGAGAUCGGAAAGAACACCAACGGCGAAAGCACUCUGCUGGGCCGACACUGACACUGAGAGACGAAAGCUAGGGGAGCAAAUGGGAUUAGAUACCCCGGUAGUCCCUGUCUAUUAUAC